RNAcentral lists this ribosomal RNA (258 nucleotides) under uncultured bacterium. RNAcentral describes it as "partial 16S ribosomal RNA". It matches the Rfam family "Bacterial small subunit ribosomal RNA", at positions 96 to 354 of the family's 1533-position model. The record is from RNAcentral.
UGGCGGACGGGUGAGUAACGCGUGGGCAACCUGGCCUGUACAGGGGGAUAACACUUAGAAAUAGGUGCUAAUACCGCAUAACGGGAGAAGCCGCAUGGCUUUUUCCUUGAAAACUCCGGUGGUACAGGAUGGGCCCGCGUCUGAUUAGCCAGUUGGCAGGGUAACGGCCUACCAAAGCGACGAUCAGUAGCCGGCCUGAGAGGGCGGACGGCCACACUGGGACUGAGACACGGCCCAGACUCCUACGGGAGGCAGCAG